Long non-coding RNA from Xyrauchen texanus (razorback sucker), 6052 nucleotides. RefSeq lists it as uncharacterized. The record is from RefSeq and is a predicted model, not a curated record. Lineage: Eukaryota; Metazoa; Chordata; Actinopteri; Cypriniformes; Catostomidae. The transcript is spliced from 3 exons.
UAUCAUUAUUUUGACUAUUUGGGGUUAACUGACAGGGCCCAUGUUUGGCAGAAAUUGUGCAGUAGGUCUAGAUGCUGCUGUAGACCCUCUUUUGUGGGUGUCAGCAGCAAUAGAUCAUCAGCAAACAGGAGGCAUUAGACUUCAGUGUCUCUUGAAAGCCUGUUUAUCUAACAGUCCAAGCACUCAAAAUGUUUAUAUAAACAUUGGUGACUAAAGGAACAGUUAUAAAUGUGGGUUUUAUAAAGUAGACAGUACACCCCCUCCCCCCCCCCCCAAAGUAACAUCGAACAUAAUAAAAUAAAAAGACAGACAAUGUAAACACUUAACAAAGAAAGUGAGGAAAACCAAGGAGGGUGUUUGAGAAAAGGGGCAGGGUCUGGUAGUCGGCGAGGAGGCCUCAGGUCAAAGGCAGGGUCUGGCAGCCUGGGAGGAGGUGAUAUGACUGGGCAAUGGCCGCUGGGCAGGUGGGAGAGAACAGGGCAGCAAUUGCUGGACAGGGUUCAGGGGAGUGGCUCAGGGGACAUAGCUGUGAACAACUCAGAUGUGGACACUGAUAGCCACAGUGGAACAGCCUCUGUGGUCAUGAGCACUGGCAGCUGCAACAGGGGAAUGGCUUCCGUGGCUGUGAAAACUGGCAGUGACAGGAGAACAGCCUUUGUGGCUGUGAGCACAGAUAGUGACUGGUGAACAGCUUCCGAGGUUGUGCGAACAGGCAGUGACAGGGGAACAGCCUACGUGGCUGAGAGCAUAGGCAGUGACAUGGGAACAUUCUCCAUGGCUGAGAGCAUGAGCUGGGAUGGGGGAACGAUACCCAUUUUCAUGGGAAGUGGCAGGGGAGCAGCCUUCGUGGCUGUGAACACAGGCAGGGAUAGGGGAAUGACCUCCAUGGUUGUGGGAUCUGUCUCUUGGACGGAUGAGGCUUCAGGCACCAACUCUGGGACGGACAAGGCUUCAGGAACAGGCUCAUUGACCGUGGCAGGUGUGGGCUCGUUUGAAGUGGAAGGCAUCAGCGUGGGCUCGUUGGCCAUGGCGGGCAUAGGCGUAAGCUCGUGGGCGUGGCGGGCAUGGGCGCAAGCUCAUUGGCCGUGGAAGGUGUGGGUGCAGACAGCAGCAGAGGAACUCCCCUUGUGGCCUUGGACAUAGGCAGUGGUAGGGAAAUGACCCUCGUGGCCGUGGACAUUGGCAGUGGCAGAGAAACGGCCUCAGUGAUUGUGGGCGCUGACAGCAGCAGGGAAACGGCCUCCAUGGCUGUGGAAGCUUGCAGUGGCAGAGGAGCAGGCGUCUGGCUCCUCCUCCUCCUCCUCCCCUGGGCUGCGAUCGGUUCUCCACACUGCAGCGUUACUGGGUUGAACACUUGACAGAGCUCGACACUGAAAUCCAGGAACGAGGCACAUCAUGGGCAUGUAUUGCCCACAUGGCGAUUCCCCAAUCAGCAGCCUUUCCGGUGAGGUGCAAGAUGGUGUAAGCCACCAUCAUACUCUCCAUUGGGAAAGCAGAGGGCAGCGAAGUGAAGCGAGGGCAGCGAAGCGAAGUAACAGCACACAUCGGGACAAAAAGGCGCUACAGGAUCCUUUACCUGAGAAUGGAGCUAUAGGGAGGAUGCACAUUUCUGGGCGCCAGCCGCACCUGAAACACAUAAGGGCAAAAUGUAAACACGCUUUGACAAAAAAUAGACAGGGGAUGAUGAUGUCGUGGUCCUUGUCAGACAAAACCCAACCUGACGGGUUGACAGGACCAUGACAUCACUGGAGAGCGUGCGGCAGUAAAAUGCACACAGUGGUCCCAAACAACCGGACCUGUGCGCUCAAACAAAGGGAGUAAACAAAACACUGAGGCAGGCCGAUACUGACAAUUAUAUGUGUUACUUCAUGGAUUGUGACAUUCAGGUCCGUAUAUAAUAUUAUUGAAAUUAUAUCAGUUGGUUGUAAUGUUCUAGAGCCCAGUCGGUUGUGUAAUUUGAUUGACAGGAGGGGGCGGAGUCUCAGUUACACAACAGUAUUUGACCUACUUUCAGUUCCAGAACAUUCUCCCUUAGCCACUCAUUACUGCCCUCUUUCUAUUGUCGAUGUUAAUGAGCAUUAUUUGGUUCAUUUGCAUUACGGUAAUGAGAAUUGAGUUAAAUGUGUGCAAUUGUCAUGCAAAUGUCACAAUGUAAAAAAUAGCCUUAAAAAUGGACUUGAUUUUAUUUAUGCCAAAUAUAAUUUCUUACUUGUUUCAUUUUAAUUUUGGAGUGAAAUAAGACCAGGACAUUUUCUUGACCGUUUAUGGGAGAAUCACCAAUUUGAGGCCUUUUUUGGAGCUGGAUAACCGUGAACUGCCAUUAUCAUCUUGAAAUCUUCUACUGAGCAUCGGCAAAGCGAAUGCCACCAAGAUUCUGGGAGUCCAGAACUAAGAGCUGCCGGCUAGCUUAAAGGAGCUGGAGGAGGAAGAGAAGAGGAGAUCUUCGUCAGUUAAAGAAGAAAGGGUGAGGACUGACCAGGUACUACAGAAGACACCAGCACAGGGACAAUCCCCCCGGAGCAACCUGGAUUAAGUGCCUUACUCGAGGACACAAUGGUGGUGGCUGUGGGGAUCGAACCAGCAACCUUCUGAUUAACAGUUAUGUGCUUUAGUCCACUAUGCCACCACCUCUCCAUAAAGAUGUGCUACGAACACACACUGACUGACCAAUGUUAUGCAGAACUUAAGCCAAAUGUUUAGCAUAUUUGUAUUGAUUUUUAACAUUGCAUGAGUGGAGUAAUACUCCAGUUAAUUUAGUAAAAUUCUCAUUUAUCCUUUUGGAUUUAUCUUUGAUUUUGGGACAUUUACUUUUCAAAAUGUAAUUGCGCGAUGUACUUCCCUAACCUGGGUCACCAUGUAAUCUGUCUCCUCAGAUAUUAAUGAUUUUGCCUGAUGGAUUUAAUGGAUUGAUGAUCAGCUCAUGUGCGGAUUAGGUAACAGUACACACUAAAGAGUAUGUACAAUACUUGAGUGUAUGAUAGAGAGUGUGUGUGCGUUUGUAAAUGAGUGAGCAAACGAGUAAGUGCACAUGGCUAUUAAUCCUCUCACUGUGUGUAGGAGCAACGUUUAGCUUUUUUUUAGACAUUUGUUUUGUAUUUUUUUGUAUUGCUUCUGUUCCUGUAGAGUUAAACUCCUGCACCCUUUGGACAAAGAGGGAGAGAGGGAUGGGCCACCUGACAUGAAUGACACCAACUUUAAGUAUUCAAUGCACAGCCUUGUGUCAAAAAAAUAGAGCACACGCACCAACUUCAUUAAAGGGCAAUUCUUCAAUUUAGGGCAGUGGUUCGCAACCAGGGGACUUCAGCAAACUUCCAAGGGGGCCUCAAGACGUCUUACAAUUAUUUAAAAAGUUAAAUUUACAGUAUAUUAAAAUAAUCUUAACAUAGCAUAAAAAACUAAACAAACAAAAAAACUUAUUUUAAUUCAAUAACUCCAUUCAAUGACUGUUUUUGUUGAAGAUCAGUUCUUAAAAAUUCUGGAAUCACAAAAGUAAUUAUGAAUAAUUAAUUGUAUCUAUUGACAUUCCACAUUUAUAUUAAUUCAACUUUGUCAUCAUUACAGCUGAAAUACCAGAGGAAAUACUGUAUUGUUGAGAAUCAUUGAUUUAGGGCACAUUUCUGUUCCCUUGGGUGACUUGAAAGAAAAAAGCGUUAAAGAAUCAAUUGGGAAAAUAUGUGGGUAGAUUUUAAUCUUUAAGCUUUUUUUUCAUUGUCACUUUAAUCACUUUCUCCUAAUUGUGGAAGUUAAAUUAAAAAAUAUCUAUACUUUGACUUGUAACUUCCAGAUAAAAAUAUAUAAUGAAUUUACUAUAGAGUAAAUGUAUGUCAAUUUAAGUGUUAAAAUCAGAAAUUUUACUUUGCACGAAUAAAUCCAGGAGAAAUGUUUUCACGGAGAUGAAACUUCUAAAAUUGGUUGAAAUUUUCAGGAUUUCAAGUAGACAAAAAUGCAUCUAAUUGAAGAAUCACCCACAAACAUAUUUCACCUUACAUAUAUCUGGCCUUCUUGGACUCUACUAGGACAUACUGUACAACUUUUCAUUGACCAGAAUCCCGUGUGUCCAGUGAAGACCAGAGAAAUCUCACUACUCGUGACGGAUGGGGGUUUGGACAAACAUACUGUAUAUUUUCUCAAUAGUCUCUUUAAGGUAAAAUGUGAUACCAAUGAUAAUGAGGCUGAAACCUCUCAGACGUCACCACAGAGGAAGCCAAUUGCCUUCAGCAUCAACGUAACUUCAAACCUACAUUUAAAUAGUACAAAUGUCUAUUCCAAUACACUGUUUACAAUUGACACGAGCAUUCGGUGUGUUUGUGCUUAAGUAUAUUUGACCUUUUUGCAUUCACAGAAUGCUGUUGCCAAACCUUCAAACAGCCCAACGCUCAAUGAGAGUAAGGUCACUUCAAGAGCCGACAGCGUGGCGGACAGAAAACCAUAUGGACUGUGGGUCCCCAUCAGCAAAUCGUCUCCUAAAAAUAAGACAGACUGACUCACUCACUCACUUUUACAUUUAUGCAUUUGGCAGACGCUUUUAUCCAAAGCGACUUACAGUGCAAUUAUUACAGGGACAAUCCCCGGAGCAACCUGGAGUUAAGGGCCUUGCUCAAGGGCCCAACAGUGGCAUCUUGGUGGUGCUGGGGCUUGAACCCCAAACCUUCUGGUCAGUAAACCUGAGCCUCAACCACUGAGCCACCACUGCCCCAUAUUAUGUACAUUUAGUUGUUCUUGUGCUGUAUGGUGAGAUAUUUCUAAAUACAGAGCACUGAAAACAUUCCUGGUGUGCACACUUGAGUGCUUGUCCUCAAGAAAUUGUGAUUCUAAGAGUACAAAAUGUUUUUUUUGCAAUUGUUUUAAUGAAGUUGAAAUGCUUACAUUUCUAGAAUAUCUCAUUAGCCUUUACCAUUGCCUUAAAGAUGUUAAAAAUUCACAAUCUAUUGUAUUUGUGCCUAUCAUUAAUUAUAAAAUUACAUUCUUCAGAGGUCCUAUUUCACCCCUAAAUUAAAAGAUAUUAUAUUUUGACUAAAAGAACAUAAAGCCCAAAUUCUCAUGACUGUAAAUGGACUUAAAUAUAAAUUAUUUAAUGAGAAUGCAAAAAAUGCAACAUUAACGCCAAGAAGUUAGAAAGCAGAUGACCGUAAAUCACUAAGGAUUAUUUUAAUGGCUUUGCAAUGUCAUGCAUCAUUAAGUUUGUAAAGACACAAAUAAAUAAAUUGAUAAAUUGUCACACAUUAUACAUACAUUUCUGCAUAUAUACAGUGAAAUUAUUUAUUUGUCACAUAUCCCAGCUAAGCUGGGGUCAGAGGGCAGGGUCAGCCAUGAUACGGUGCCUCUGGAGCAGAUGGGGUCAAGGGCCUUGCUCAAGGGCCCAACAGGGGUGUUUUAGCGCUUGAACCCCUGACCUUCUGGUCAGUAAACCAGAGCCUUAACCACUGAGCCACCACUGCCACCUGGUGGUACUGUAGGCAUUUAUUGACCAGGCCAGUGUGACAAUUAAAAUGCAAUGGUUUUAUACCAUUCACUCAGGUACAAAUAAAUGCUGGUAUUUUCAAGAAUAGGCCAAUUAAGUCUUAUUUUUCCUGUCUCGUCUACACUGUGAAGAAUGAAAUCUGAUUUAGAGCCAGUGGGGAAAAAAACCCUGUUCUUCAGUAGUCUGAACUCUGGGUGGCGCUGUUGCACUGUGUAUAUUUGUUGAAGAUGAUGAGGCAGGCAUACAUAAAAACAUCACAAACUUUUGUUCCGAGGAGUAUGUUGUACAGUGGUUGUUAAAAACCCCAUUAACAUUCCAUAAUUGCUUAAAAUGAAGAAAAGGUAGAAAACUAAUUCCAUAGAAAAUGAUCAGCAGAUGAUGUUGCAUAUCUGUAAGGCUUGUGCUACUAAGCCAUAUCAAGAAAUGUGCUCAUUGACAGAUACAAAUUUACAUUUACAUUUACGCAUUUGGCAGACGCUUUUAUCCAAAGUGACUUACAGUGCACUUAUUACAGGGACAAUCCCCCCGGAGCAACCUGGCGUUAAGUGCCUUGCUCAAGGACACAAUGGUGGUGACCGUGGGGAUCAAACC